UACGUAGGGGGCAAGCGUUGUCCGGAUUUAUUGGGCGUAAAGAGCGUGUAGGCGGCUAGGUAGGUGGGUUGUGAAAACUGGAGGCUCAACCUUCAGACGUCGACCCAAACCCCCUGGCUAGAGUCCGGAAGAGGAGAGUGGAAUUCCUGGUGUAGCAGUGAAAUGCGUAGAUAUCAAGAGGAACACCAGUGGCGAAGGCGAGUCCCUGGACAACACCUGACACUGAGGCACGAAAGCUAGGGGAGCAAACAGG
Molecule: ribosomal RNA, 253 nt
Filed under: uncultured bacterium
Lineage: Bacteria
Description: partial 16S ribosomal RNA
Rfam family: Bacterial small subunit ribosomal RNA
Source: RNAcentral